UACCUCAGUGGUUAAGUGUUUGGCUGCUAACCAAAAUGCUGGCAGUUGGAAUCUGCC
Molecule: transfer RNA, 57 nt
Filed under: Loxodonta africana (African savanna elephant)
Lineage: Eukaryota; Metazoa; Chordata; Mammalia; Proboscidea; Elephantidae
Rfam family: tRNA
About the family: Transfer RNA (tRNA) molecules are approximately 80 nucleotides in length. Their secondary structure includes four short double-helical elements and three loops (D, anti-codon, and T loops). Further hydrogen bonds mediate the characteristic L-shaped molecular structure. tRNAs have two regions of fundamental functional importance: the anti-codon, which is responsible for specific mRNA codon recognition, and the 3' end, to which the tRNAs corresponding amino acid is attached (by aminoacyl-tRNA synthetases). tRNAs cope with the degeneracy of the genetic code in two manners: having more than one tRNA (with a specific anti-codon) for a particular amino acid; and 'wobble' base-pairing, i.e. permitting non-standard base-pairing at the 3rd anti-codon position.
Source: Rfam by way of RNAcentral